This 1741-nucleotide ribosomal RNA is filed under the name biogas fermenter metagenome. RNAcentral describes it as "bacterial LSU rRNA". It matches the Rfam family "Bacterial large subunit ribosomal RNA", at positions 798 to 2465 of the family's 2925-position model. The record is from RNAcentral.
CAUGGGAUGAGCUGUGGAUAGCGGAGAAAUUCCAAUCGAACUCGGAGAUAGCUGGUUCUCCUCGAAAUAGCUUUAGGGCUAGCGUCGGAUAUGAGUAAUGGAGGUAGAGCACUGAAUGGGCUAGGGGGCAUAUUGCUUACCGAACCUUAUCAAACUCCGAAUGCCAUAUACUAUUAGUCCGGCAGUCAGACUGCGAAUGAUAAGGUCCGUAGUCAAGAGGGAAACAACCCAGAUCGUCAGCUAAGGUCCCAAAGUGUAAGUUAAGUGGUAAAGGAUGUGGGAUUUCUAAGACAACUAGGAUGUUGGCUUAGAAGCAGCCACUCAUUUAAAGAGUGCGUAAUAGCUCACUAGUCGAGAGAUCCUGCGCCGAAGAUGUCCGGGGCUCAAACUUACCACCGAAGCUACGAAUAGCAGAUAUCAGAUGUGAGAUAACAGAUAAGAGAAUUAAAAUUUCUCCUUCGGAGAAAUUAAAAAAAUCUGACACCUGUUACCUGACACCUGAUAUCUGCUGUGGUAGAGGAGCAUCCUGUACGGGCUGAAGUCAUACCGAAAGGAGUGGUGGACUGUACAGGAGAGAGAAUGCUGGAAUAAGUAGCGAGAAAAGAGUGAGAAUCUCUUUGGUCGAAAACCUAAGGUUUCCUGGGGAAGGCUCGUCCGCCCAGGGUUAGUCGGGACCUAAGCUCAGGCCGAAAGGCGUAGGCGAUGGACAAUCGGUUGAUAUUCCGAUACCACUACAACGCGUUAUUACCGAUGGGGUGACGCAGGAGGAUAAGAUGUGCUCACUAUUGGAUGUGGGUCUAAGUACUUAGGCAGAACAGAUAGGCAAAUCCGUCUGUUCAAUGCUGAGGUGCGAUGGGGAGCGAAAUUUUAGUAGCGAAGUAUCUGAUUCCACGCUGCCAAGAAAAGCCUCUAGGGAGUGAAGUAGUGCCCGUACCGCAAACCGACACAGGUAGGUGAGGAGAGAAUCCUAAGACCAGCGGAAGAAUUGCAGUUAAGGAACUAGGCAAAUUGACCCCGUAACUUCGGGAGAAGGGGUGCCUACGAGAGUAGGCCGCAGAGAAUAGGCCCAAGCAACUGUUUAGCAAAAACACAGGUCUCUGCUAAAGCGAAAGCUGAUGUAUAGGGGCUGACGCCUGCCCGGUGCUGGAAGGUUAAGGGGAUUGCUUAGCGCAAGCGAAGGCAUGAACUUAAGCCCCAGUAAACGGCGGCCGUAACUAUAACGGUCCUAAGGUAGCGAAAUUCCUUGUCGGGUAAGUUCCGACCCGCACGAAUGGCGUAAUGAUUUGGGCACUGUCUCAACUGCAAAUCCGGCGAAAUUGUAGUGCAAGUGAAGAUGCUUGCUACCCGCGAUUGGACGGAAAGACCCCGUAGAGCUUUACUGUAGCUUAGCAUUGAGUUUCGGUAUUAUCUGUACAGGAUAGGUGGGAGACUUGGAAGCAAGGGCGUCAGCCUUUGUGGAGUCACCCUUGGGAUACCACCCUGAUGAUACUGAGAUUCUAACCGGAGGCCAUGAAUCUGGUCACGGGACAUUGUUAGGCGGGCAGUUUGACUGGGGCGGUCGCCUCCUAAAAUGUAACGGAGGCGCUCAAAGGUUCCCUCAGAACGGUUGGAAAUCGUUCGAAGAGUGCAAAGGCAGAAGGGAGCCUAACUGCGACACCUACAAGUGGAGCAGGGACGAAAGUCGGACUUAGUGAUCCGGUGGUACCUCGUGGGAGGGCCAUCGCUCAACGGAUAAAAGCUA